RNAcentral lists this transfer RNA (74 nucleotides) under Lactiplantibacillus plantarum. RNAcentral describes it as "tRNA-Pro". It matches the Rfam family "tRNA". From Rfam's summary of the family: Transfer RNA (tRNA) molecules are approximately 80 nucleotides in length. Their secondary structure includes four short double-helical elements and three loops (D, anti-codon, and T loops). The record is from RNAcentral. Lineage: Bacteria; Bacillati; Bacillota; Bacilli; Lactobacillales; Lactobacillaceae. RNAcentral also lists the same sequence under 2 other names.
CGGGAAAUAGCUCAGCUUGGUAGAGCACCUGGUUUGGGACCAGGAGGUCGCAGGUUCGAAUCCUGUUUUCCCGA